CUAGGUGUAGCUUAGCCCGGAAAAGCGUCCGGUUUGGGGCCGGAAGAUCGGGGGUUCAAAUCCCUCCACCUAGACCA
This 77-nucleotide transfer RNA is filed under the name Sphingomonadaceae bacterium. RNAcentral describes it as "tRNA-Pro". It matches the Rfam family "tRNA". Rfam says of the family: Transfer RNA (tRNA) molecules are approximately 80 nucleotides in length. Lineage: Bacteria; Pseudomonadati; Pseudomonadota; Alphaproteobacteria; Sphingomonadales; Sphingomonadaceae. RNAcentral also lists the same sequence under 1 other name. The record is from RNAcentral.